GACGAGGGAUCCUAGCGUUGUUCGGAAUCAUUGGGCGUAAAGCGGAUGUAGGUGGCUUUGUAAGUCGGGUGUGAAAGCCCAGGGCUCAACCCUGGAAGUGCAUUCGAUACUGCGAAGCUUGAAUGUCGGAGAGGUUAUUAGAAUACCUGGUGUAGUGGUGAAAUACGUAGAUAUCAGGUGGAAUACCGGAGGCGAAGGCGGAUAACCAGCCGAACAUUGACACUCAGAUCCGAAAGUGUGGGGAUCAAACAGG
This 253-nucleotide ribosomal RNA is filed under the name uncultured bacterium. RNAcentral's name for it is "partial 16S ribosomal RNA". It matches the Rfam family "Bacterial small subunit ribosomal RNA", at positions 524 to 776 of the family's 1533-position model. RNAcentral also lists the same sequence under 1 other name. The record is from RNAcentral.